Long non-coding RNA from Lotus japonicus, 3278 nucleotides. RefSeq lists it as uncharacterized. The transcript is spliced from 2 exons. Lineage: Eukaryota; Viridiplantae; Streptophyta; Magnoliopsida; Fabales; Fabaceae. The record is from RefSeq and is a predicted model, not a curated record.
UAUUAAAUAGAGUUUCUUAUGUGGAUGCAGAAAAUGAUCAUACUUAAGUUAGAAAUAAGGCUUAAUUCCACUUUGGGCCCCUGAUCUUUCAAAAAUGAGCGAUCGAGGCCCCCCGUGUUUAAACGUAGCGGUCAGGCACCCCAACGUUUCAAAAACGUGCGUUUCAAACCCUUCUGUUAAGUGUCGUUAGUUUGACUAACGGAACUAAUGACGUGGAUUUUCUUUUUCAUUUUAAUAUUUUUUUUUACCCAAAAAUCCCCCCCCCCCCCAAAUUCUCUCUCAAUCUCGACAUCUCUUCACUUUCUUCUUCAUUUUUCUCUGAAAACCCUAAAACCACACAACAUCAUCUUCUUCUUCAUGGUCGCCGCCGCCGCUCUUCGGCCAAGCCACCACCACCACGAGCUUCCUCACGCGAGCUCGCCGCUGGCCACACCACCAUCACUGCGCCUCCUUCUUCUUCUUCUUCUUCCUUGAGAGCCACCGCCGCUGGCCACACCACCAUCACUGCGCCUCCUCCUUCUUCUUCUUCCAUGAGAGCCACCGCCGGUCACACCAUCACCUCCUCAUCAUCCUCGCGCGAACCUAAAGGGCAGCCACCAUGGCCACCACGUGGAAGCCAUCACCACCAUGAAAACCUAGGAUCGCCGCCUUCAAAGUCCGAUCUACGGUGAACCGCUCACGAUCUCGACAAACCAACACCACCGCUGUGCUCAUCUCCUCGUCCGCAACAAAACCCACAAAGAAAUUUCCGAUUCCGACGACCUCCGCCGUGAACCGCCGUGCGCCGCCGCCGGAGGCGAUUUCCGGCGACUCGCCCUCUUCUCCUCUUCUCUUUCUCUUGCUAAAUUAGGGUGAAAUUAGGGUAAAACAUUGGAAACAAAUCCUAAUUGUGGUAAAGAUGCUGAUCAGUGUGAUGAUGAUAAGUGUAAGAGUGCAUUUGAAAGCAUUUCUGCUAUUUCUGCUCUUUAUAGUGAUGACAUUCCUGCAGAUAAGUUAACAAAUGAGAUGAAGAAAUUGAACAUGAACCAUUCUGAGGGUGUUGAUAUCACGAGAGAUUCAAUGAAUUCAUUUGUAAAUAGUAAAGCUAGUUUUGUGUUUGGAGGAAGUGACAAGGUUUUUGGCUGUGUUAAUGAUAGUUCGGGAGUUAAUCUUGAUGGUACUGAUGCUGAUUUUGAUAAUAUUGGAGGGAAACAUGUCAAAGCAUGCAGAGAAAAUGACGUUCAAAAUGAAAUUGGUUGCGGUUCUGCAGGAAUACCUUGCACUGAGCCAUCCACUAGUCAGGAAGGUGCCAGAGAUUUCCAGGGUGGGGGAAUUGGGUUUGUGAAUUGAGUGGGAAAAUCCUGGGUCAAAAAUUUAAUGUUAAACUAAAAAAAAAAUUCCACGUCAAUUAAUGAAAGGGCCUCCGUUUGGUCAACUAACGGAGCUUAACAGAAGGGGCUGGAUCGCACGUUUUUGAAACGUUGGGGUGUCCGACCGCUACGUUUAAACACGGGGGGCCCCGAUCGCUCAUUUCUGAUACAUCAGGGGCCCAAAGUGGAAUUAAGCCUAGAAAUAAAUAUAUUUUCGUGGAAUUAGUUUUUCCACAGCUGAAAAUUAUUCUCAUAUAAAAAAUUCGAAUCUCCAAUCUUUCUUGAUUCCAAAUGUUUCGCUCAAUUGCUUCUUUUGAAUUCUUUUGCUCAAUUGCUUCUGCUAGCUAGGGAUUUGGGAUAGCAAAAGUAGGGAUAAAGUGGAAAAGUGGAUAAAGUGGAAAAGUUUUCUUUCCAAGGACAUCUUGCUGAGAUUAAGCAUGGAAGUAUUGUCAUUGCAGCCAUUACAAGUUGAAUAAAUACUCUUAAAUAAGUUUUUGUCCCUAACCUUUACUAAAUGCUUGGUUUUCGUCCCUCGCCGGAGCAAAGGUGGGUUUUAGUCCCUAAACUUUGCCAAAAUGUUUGGUUAUCAUCCCUCCGGAGCUCUGGGUCAACGCCGGAGCUCCGGUGGCCCAUGUGGCAUUGCCACAUGAGAUUAAUGAACAUGAUGUGGAAUUUUUUUUUUAAGUUAAAAAAACUUAUUAAUUUAAAAUAAAAAAGAAAUCUAAUUUAAUUCCUAAUCCCCUUUGACUACCUGAGCCCUAAACCUAAUUUCUCAUUCCCCAACCCUUGUUCUACCAAAGCCACCACCACCACACCGCCGUUACCUCCAAACAGUGCAGCCAUCGACCAUCACCGCUCCUCGCCAUCAUUGCACCCGUCAUCGAGUCAUCAUCGAACCACCAUCAUCUUCACGUUGUAGAUCUGGUUGGGUUGCAACUCCACAGUCUAAAUCCCCAAAUCAGGAUCACCUCCGUCGCGCUCGGAGGCAUGUCUGGAAGCCUUUCUGGCCACCACUUGCACCGCUGCACUCGCCUCCUUCUCAGGUUUCCAAAUCUGGCCUUAUUUUGUCUUUAUCAGAUCUGUGGUGUUCCAGAUCUGUGGCAGAGUGGCUUGGAAACCCAAUUCUUUGUCUGCAGUGUCUAUAAUUCUGGAUUAUUGCUUUGCAAAUUUUCGAUUCUCUGUUGGGAGUAGUGCUUUUGGAGGGUCUCGAAUGAUUUCUGAUUGUGUGAUGGGAAUACUUCAUGUGCCUUUUGAUGUGGUAGAGUGCUCCUUUUUUGGAUGCUCUUGUCGAGUUUGGUACAUCUUGAAUCUGGUUUAUGAAUUUCUCCCUCUGGUUGUUGUUUCGUGAGGUCAGAUUUUGGCAGGUUUAAUAGGAUGUGGUCAUGUUUAUUUAAUAGGAUGUGGUCAUGUUAAUAUCAUCUGGAACGAGGAAAUUAAAAUGUUGAAUGGAAUUUUUUUUUGUUGAAGGUGGUGAUGAAAAUGUUAAGAUGGUGAGGAAUAUGUUGAAGAUGGUUCUGGGUUGGGGUUUUUUUUUUGUUGAAGAUGAUGAUGGAAAUGUUGAAGAUGGUGAUGAAGAAGGGUUUAUAAAAAAUUUGUUAAAUUAAUUUUUUUCGUUGGAAAUAAAAAAAUUUCCACAUCAUGUUCAUUAAUCUGAUGUGGCAAUGCCACAUGGGCUACCGGAGCUCCGGCGUUGACCCAGAGCUCCGGAGGGAUGAUAACCAAACAUUUUGACAAAGGUUAGGGACUAAAACCCACAUUUACUCCGGCGAGGGACGAAAACCAAGCAUUUGGUAAAGGUUAGGGACCAAAAACUUAUUUAAGCCUACAUUAAACCCAAGUGUAAUGCUUGGGCCUGGUCUUGUUGCAAAGAAAGCUUGUGAAUUAGAUUUGGAUGUUAGUCUCAAAUAUCAGUACCUCUAUUGCCUGGAA